This 558-nucleotide ribosomal RNA is filed under the name Devosia sp. HRTP033. RNAcentral's name for it is "bacterial SSU rRNA". It matches the Rfam family "Bacterial small subunit ribosomal RNA", at positions 102 to 694 of the family's 1533-position model. Lineage: Bacteria; Pseudomonadati; Pseudomonadota; Alphaproteobacteria; Hyphomicrobiales; Devosiaceae. The record is from RNAcentral.
ACGGGUGAGUAACGCGUGGGAAUCUACCUAGUUCUACGGAACAACAGAGGGAAACUUCUGCUAAUACCGUAUACGCCCUACGGGGGAAAGAUUUAUCGGAAUUAGAUGAGCCCGCGUAAGAUUAGCUAGUUGGUGGGGUAAUGGCCUACCAAGGCGACGAUCUUUAGCUGGUCUGAGAGGAUGAUCAGCCACACUGGGACUGAGACACGGCCCAGACUCCUACGGGAGGCAGCAGUGGGGAAUAUUGGACAAUGGGCGCAAGCCUGAUCCAGCCAUGCCGCGUGAGUGAUGAAGGCCUUAGGGUUGUAAAGCUCUUUCAGUGGGGAAGAUAAUGACGGUACCCACAGAAGAAGCCCCGGCUAACUUCGUGCCAGCAGCCGCGGUAAUACGAAGGGGGCUAGCGUUGUUCGGAUUUACUGGGCGUAAAGCGCACGUAGGCGGAUUGGUCAGUUAGAGGUGAAAUCCCGAAGCUCAACUUCGGAACUGCCUUUAAUACUGCCAAUCUAGAGUCCGGAAGAGGUGAGUGGAAACUCCUAGUGUAGAGGUGGAAUUCGUAGA